UACGUAGGGGGCGAGCGUUGUCCGGAAUUAUUGGGCGUAAAGAGCUCGUAGGCGGCUUGGCAAGUCGGGUGUGAAACCUCCAGGCUCAACCUGGAGACGCCACUCGAUACUGCCAUGGCUAGAGUCCGGUAGGGGACCACGGAAUUCCUGGUGUAGCGGUGAAAUGCGCAGAUAUCUGGAGGAAUACCGGUGGCGAAGGCGGCAUCCUGGACCGACAUUGACGCUGAGGAGCGAAAGCUAGGGGAGCAAACGGG
Molecule: ribosomal RNA, 254 nt
Filed under: uncultured bacterium
Lineage: Bacteria
Description: partial 16S ribosomal RNA
Rfam family: Bacterial small subunit ribosomal RNA
Source: RNAcentral